GCCUGGGUGGCUCAGAGGUUGAGCAUCUGCCUUUGGCUCAGGGAAUCCUGGGAUUGAGUCCCACAUCGGGCU
Molecule: transfer RNA, 72 nt
Filed under: Canis lupus familiaris (dog)
Lineage: Eukaryota; Metazoa; Chordata; Mammalia; Carnivora; Canidae
Also listed under: 2 other names
Rfam family: tRNA
About the family: Transfer RNA (tRNA) molecules are approximately 80 nucleotides in length. Their secondary structure includes four short double-helical elements and three loops (D, anti-codon, and T loops).
Source: Rfam by way of RNAcentral